CCUACGGGAGGCAGCAGUGGGGAAUAUUGGACAAUGGGCGAAAGCCUGAUCCAGCAAUGCCGCGUGAGUGAUGAAGGCCUUCGGGUCGUAAAGCUCUUUUACCAGGGAUGAUAAUGACAGUACCUGGAGAAUAAGCUCCGGCUAACUCCGUGCCAGCAGCCGCGGUAAUACGGAGGGAGCUAGCGUUGUUCGGAAUUACUGGGCGUAAAGAGUACGUAGGCGGUUAUUCAAGUCAGAGGUGAAAGCCCGGGGCUCAACCCCGGAACUGCCUUUGAAACUAGAUAACUAGAGUCUUGGAGAGGUUAGUGGAAUUCCGAGUGUAGAGGUGAAAUUCGUAGAUAUUCGGAAGAACACCAGUGGCGAAGGCGACUAACUGGACAAGUACUGACGCUGAGGUACGAAAGCGUGGGGAGCAAACAGGAUUAGAUACCCUGGUAGUCCACGCCGUAAACGAUGAUAACUAGUUGUUCGGUCACUUGGUGACUGAGUGACGCAGCUAACGCAUUAAGUUAUCCGCCUGGGGAGUACGGUCGCAAGAUUAAAACUACAAAGGAAUUGACGGCGNGAAGAGUGCGAGACGACACGAGGAGGAGG
RNAcentral lists this ribosomal RNA (594 nucleotides) under uncultured bacterium. RNAcentral's name for it is "bacterial SSU rRNA". It matches the Rfam family "Bacterial small subunit ribosomal RNA", at positions 338 to 950 of the family's 1533-position model. The record is from RNAcentral.